GUGGCCCCAACACUGCCUCCCUUCCCACCCCACAAUGUUAGAAGAAACUCGACAGAGAAAAUUGGCAGCAGCCAAGAAAAAGUCCUCCUCCAACUCCUCCUCUCUGCGUGCGCCUCAGAGCCGGUACCAAGAACUGGAAGUAGCCCUGGACUCAAGCUCCGCAACAAUCAAUCAACUCAGUGAAAACAUAGAAUCACUG
Molecule: long non-coding RNA, 199 nt
Organism: Cercocebus atys (sooty mangabey)
Lineage: Eukaryota; Metazoa; Chordata; Mammalia; Primates; Cercopithecidae
Exons: 2
Source: RefSeq, a predicted model, not a curated record